RNAcentral lists this ribosomal RNA (3282 nucleotides) under Drosophila melanogaster (fruit fly). RNAcentral describes it as "eukaryotic LSU rRNA". The stretch from base 573 to 3282 matches the Rfam family "Eukaryotic large subunit ribosomal RNA", at positions 1 to 2346 of the family's 3401-position model. The record is from RNAcentral. Lineage: Eukaryota; Metazoa; Arthropoda; Insecta; Diptera; Drosophilidae.
ACUCUAAGCGGUGGAUCACUCGGCUCAUGGGUCGAUGAAGAACGCAGCAAACUGUGCGUCAUCGUGUGAACUGCAGGACACAUGAACAUCGACAUUUUGAACGCAUAUCGCAGUCCAUGCUGUUAUGUACUUUAAUUAAUUUUAUAGUGCUGCUUGGACUACAUAUGGUUGAGGGUUGUAAGACUAUGCUAAUUAAGUUGCUUAUAAAUUUUUAUAAGCAUAUGGUAUAUUAUUGGAUAAAUAUAAUAAUUUUUAUUCAUAAUAUUAAAAAAUAAAUGAAAAACAUUAUCUCACAUUUGAAUGUGAAAAACGAAGAGAAAUAUUUUCUUUUUCAAUCAAAUAAUACUGAGAAAUGUCUAGCAUAAAAAAUUGAAAUAUUUUUCAUCUAGAAUUGUCUCUUAUUAAUGAUUCGGAAAUAGAAAAAUCUUGGUUAUGUUAUUAUUCUUCGUUGGUUCGUUAAAAAUGGAUAAAUAAAAACUUUGCAUACAAGAAUUAAUAAAAAUGUUAUAACGAAUUUAAUUAAAUGUUUUAUCAUUAUAUAUAAAGAAUUUAUGGCAAGAUAAAGUUAUAUACAACCUCAACUCAUAUGGGACUACCCCCUGAAUUUAAGCAUAUUAAUUAGGGGAGGAAAAGAAACUAACAAGGAUUUUCUUAGUAGCGGCGAGCGAAAAGAAAACAGUUCAGCACUAAGUCACUUUGUCUAUAUGGCAAAUGUGAGAUGCAGUGUAUGGAGCGUCAAUAUUCUAGUAUGAGAAAUUAACGAUUUAAGUCCUUCUUAAAUGAGGCCAUUUACCCAUAGAGGGUGCCAGGCCCGUAUAACGUUAAUGAUUACUAGAUGAUGUUUCCAAAGAGUCGUGUUGCUUGAUAGUGCAGCACUAAGUGGGUGGUAAACUCCAUCUAAAACUAAAUAUAACCAUGAGACCGAUAGUAAACAAGUACCGUGAGGGAAAGUUGAAAAGAACUCUGAAUAGAGAGUUAAACAGUACGUGAAACUGCUUAGAGGUUAAGCCCGAUGAACCUGAAUAUCCGUUAUGGAAAAUUCAUCAUUAAAAUUGUAAUAUUUAAAUAAUAUUAUGAGAAUAGUGUGCAUUUUUUCCAUAUAAGGACAUUGUAAUCUAUUAGCAUAUACCAAAUUUAUCAUAAAAUAUAACUUAUAGUUUAUUCCAAUUAAAUUGCUUGCAUUUUAACACAGAAUAAAUGUUAUUAAUUUGAUAAAGUGCUGAUAGAUUUAUAUGAUUACAGUGCGUUAAUUUUUCGGAAUUAUAUAAUGGCAUAAUUAUCAUUGAUUUUUGUGUUUAUUAUAUGCACUUGUAUGAUUAACAAUGCGAAAGAUUCAGGAUACCUUCGGGACCCGUCUUGAAACACGGACCAAGGAGUCUAACAUAUGUGCAAGUUAUUGGGAUAUAAACCUAAUAGCGUAAUUAACUUGACUAAUAAUGGGAUUAGUUUUUUAGCUAUUUAUAGCUAAUUAACACAAUCCCGGGCGUUCUAUAUAGUUAUGUAUAAUGUAUAUUUAUAUUAUUUAUGCCUCUAACUGGAACGUACCUUGAGCAUAUAUGCUGUGACCCGAAAGAUGGUGAACUAUACUUGAUCAGGUUGAAGUCAGGGGAAACCCUGAUGGAAGACCGAAACAGUUCUGACGUGCAAAUCGAUUGUCAGAAUUGAGUAUAGGGGCGAAAGACCAAUCGAACCAUCUAGUAGCUGGUUCCUUCCGAAGUUUCCCUCAGGAUAGCUGGUGCAUUUUAAUAUUAUAUAAAAUAAUCUUAUCUGGUAAAGCGAAUGAUUAGAGGCCUUAGGGUCGAAACGAUCUUAACCUAUUCUCAAACUUUAAAUGGGUAAGAACCUUAACUUUCUUGAUAUGAAGUUCAAGGUUAUGAUAUAAUGUGCCCAGUGGGCCACUUUUGGUAAGCAGAACUGGCGCUGUGGGAUGAACCAAACGUAAUGUUACGGUGCCCAAAUUAACAACUCAUGCAGAUACCAUGAAAGGCGUUGGUUGCUUAAAACAGCAGGACGGUGAUCAUGGAAGUCGAAAUCCGCUAAGGAGUGUGUAACAACUCACCUGCCGAAGCAACUAGCCCUUAAAAUGGAUGGCGCUUAAGUUGUAUACCUAUACAUUACCGCUAAAGUAGAUGAUUUAUAUUACUUGUGAUAUAAAUUUUGAAACUUUAGUGAGUAGGAAGGUACAAUGGUAUGCGUAGAAGUGUUUGGCGUAAGCCUGCAUGGAGCUGCCAUUGGUACAGAUCUUGGUGGUAGUAGCAAAUAAUCGAAUGAGACCUUGGAGGACUGAAGUGGAGAAGGGUUUCGUGUGAACAGUGGUUGAUCACGAGUUAGUCGGUCCUAAGUUCAAGGCGAAAGCCGAAAAUUUUCAAGUAAAACAAAAAUGCCUAACUAUAUAAACAAAGCGAAUUAUAAUACACUUGAAUAAUUUUGAACGAAAGGGAAUACGGUUCCAAUUCCGUAACCUGUUGAGUAUCCGUUUGUUAUUAAAUAUGGGCCUCGUGCUCAUCCUGGCAACAGGAACGACCAUAAAGAAGCCGUCGAGAGAUAUCGGAAGAGUUUUCUUUUCUGUUUUAUAGCCGUACUACCAUGGAAGUCUUUCGCAGAGAGAUAUGGUAGAUGGGCUAGAAGAGCAUGACAUAUACUGUUGUGUCGAUAUUUUCUCCUCGGACCUUGAAAAUUUAUGGUGGGGACACGCAAACUUCUCAACAGGCCGUACCAAUAUCCGCAGCUGGUCUCCAAGGUGAAGAGUCUCUAGUCGAUAGAAUAAUGUAGGUAAGGGAAGUCGGCAAAUUAGAUCCGUAACUUCGGGAUAAGGAUUGGCUCUGAAGAUUGAGAUAGUCGGGCUUGAUUGGGAAACAAUAACAUGGUUUAUGUGCUCGUUCUGGGUAAAUAGAGUUUCUAGCAUUUAUGUUAGUUACUUGUUCCCCGGAUAGUUUAGUUACGUAGCCAAUUGUGGAACUUUCUUGCUAAAAUUUUUAAGAAUACUAUUUGGGUUAAACCAAUUAGUUCUUAUUAAUUAUAACGAUUAUCAAUUAACAAUCAAUUCAGAACUGGCACGGACUUGGGGAAUCCGACUGUCUAAUUAAAACAAAGCAUUGUGAUGGCCCUAGCGGGUGUUGACACAAUGUGAUUUCUGCCCAGUGCUCUGAAUGUCAAAGUGAAGAAAUUCAAGUAAGCGCGGGUCAACGGCGGGAGUAACUAUGACUCUCUUAAGGUAGCCAAAUGCCUCGUCAUCUAAUUAGUGACGCGCAUGAAUGGAUUAACGAGAUUCCUACUGUCCCU